GACGAACGCUGGCGGCGUGCUUAACACAUGCAAGUCGAACGGAAAGGCCCUGCUUUUGUGGGGUGCUCGAGUGGCGAACGGGUGAGUAACACGUGAGUAACCUGCCCUUGACUUGGGGAUAACUUCAUGAAACUGGGGCUAAUACCGGAUAGGAGCGCCUGCUGCAUGGUGGGGGUUGGAAAGUUUCGGCGGUUGGGGCUGGACUCGCGGCUUAUCAGCUUGUUGGUGGGGUAGUGGCUUACCAAGGCUUUGACGGGUAGCUGGGCUGAGAGGGUGACCGGCCACGUUAGGACUGGGAUACGGCCCAGACUACUACGGGAGGCAGCAGUGGGGAAUAUUGCACAAUGGGCGGAAGCCUGAUGCAGCAACGCCGCGUGCGGGAUGACGGCCUUCGGGUUGUAAACCGCUUUCGCCUGUGACGAAGCGUGAGUGACGGUAAUGGGUAAAGAAGCACCGGCUAACUACGUG
Molecule: ribosomal RNA, 468 nt
Filed under: uncultured bacterium
Lineage: Bacteria
Description: partial 16S ribosomal RNA
Rfam family: Bacterial small subunit ribosomal RNA
Source: RNAcentral